UCCUAAUUAUGUCUACGUCCACAAGUGAACAUGAUUUUGUCAACUGGCAAAAUUUGCCGAAUGAAGCUUUAAUCAAAAUAUAUAGCUAUUUGGAUGAUUCUAUGCGAUGUCAAAUGUCACUUACGUGCAAGCAAUGGAACCAAGCAUUCAAUACUCCUGUAUUAUGGAGGAGGCGAUAUUUUUUAUUCACUGGUUUUCGGGCAAUGGAAAGCUCUGUAACAGCGUGCAAAUACCUCAGAUCACUGGGCAAACACCUAAGGCAUGUUGAAAUUGAGUGUGGACAUCCUGUUUUACACACGGCUCGUCCAAUUGCACAGGCAUUGGACCGAUUCGUCACUCAGAUCAACAGGUUAAGGUGUAUUCGUAUCCUGUCUUUUAAAAUGGAACAUUUGGGCAUCAGCCGUGCUUGGCAGUUCUUUCAGUCAUCAAAAUCACGGCUCGUGUCGGCGCUCUGCAAGUUCCUCAAGUCCCAGAGGCAUUUACGAAGACUGGAACUGUCAGGGGCGCAUAUGAUUUCAGAAGACGGAUCUGCUCUCAUUAACGCUUUGGGCAUAUCACAAGCACGGAAGACUUUAGAAGUUCUUCACAUCGAAAACUUCUAUGAGCAGAGGCAUACCGCUUUCUCAGAUGAAGCAUAUCUUAACACCAUGAGGAAACUAACAGCAUUAAGAAUUGUAUUCUUGAACUAUAUUUAUAUCAAUGACACGGUCUUGAAUAUUUUAGCAAAGAGAGCAGGAAGCUCUUUGGAGUUUCUUAGAAUUGUCGCGGAUUCCAGAGAACCGUACGAACAUAAUAUUUCCGCUAAUGCUUGGUUGGACUUUAAAAAACAAUGUCCGAAAGUGAAGCUUGUUUUUCAUUUCUUGGGGAAACUGAAGUACUCUGAUUAUACAAGGACUUUACUCAAAGGAAUGCCUUUGGUCGACUUGAAUAUUAUCAGCUGGGAAUCACUACCAAACAACAGAGACCCCGAUAGAGAAAGAAUGCCAGAUGUCCUCAAAUACAUUGGCGAUCACUUCCCAAAUUCUUUAGCUCAUUUUCGACUGUCGGUUGACCACGCCGUUCAACCUGCCCUGGACACGUCUUUGAUCCACCUUAUUGGAAGAUGCUGUAACCUCACUGAGGUGUCCAUUAACUGCAAAUUGGAAUUGUCCACCGUGGAAUCUAUAUGCAAAAUGGCAGGAGACCAGUCGCGGAGAGGUUUAGCUUGUCUGGAGUUACGGGUUCGAGGCUUGACGGGCGACGACAUGGCGCGACUAGCACUAGUGACUCAAGACACGCUGUGCAGUCUGGGAUUCCGACGAGUGGAGCUUCUGUCCGAGGAUGACGCUUUGGACGACUGAGCAGGGAACGCCAGACGAACGCGACACCCCGAGCUGACUGUUUUAAAAACAAUUCGUCCUUUCAAAUGUUUUCUUUUAAGUGUAGAAUCCUUGAACUGAAUACUCUCCAACACUUGGGCCAAAUCACGAUGAACAGCCAAUAUACCGGUAUGGUUGCUUCAAUACUACCUUUAUGAACACUUCGUAUGUCUUAAUAUACAUAUUUUUAUUUCGCAUGAUUUAUACUAUGCGGACUUUUAUUUUGAAAGUACACAUGUAUUUCUGUAUUUUAAAAAUGUAUUAAAAGUGAUAUAUGUA
This 1637-nucleotide unclassified non-coding RNA is filed under the name Gigantopelta aegis. Its description in RNAcentral is "f-box only protein 39-like, transcript variant X1". The record is from RNAcentral. Lineage: Eukaryota; Metazoa; Mollusca; Gastropoda; Neomphalida; Peltospiridae.